This 101-nucleotide non-coding RNA is filed under the name Aquiflexum balticum. RNAcentral's name for it is "SAM-I sequence". It matches the Rfam family "SAM riboswitch aptamer (S box leader)". Rfam says of the family: The SAM riboswitch is found upstream of a number of genes which code for proteins involved in methionine or cysteine biosynthesis in Gram-positive bacteria. The SAM riboswitch acts at the level of transcription termination control. Lineage: Bacteria; Pseudomonadati; Bacteroidota; Cytophagia; Cytophagales; Cyclobacteriaceae. The record is from RNAcentral. RNAcentral also lists the same sequence under 1 other name.
UGCUUAUCGAGAAAGACCGAGGGAAGGGCCCUGAGACGUCUUAGCAACCUAAAACAAAAGGUGCUAAUUCCCAUUCCGUAAAUGGCGGAAGAAGAUAAGCG